UGGGGGAUAUUGUACAAUGGGCGAAAGCCUGAUGCAGCGACGCCGCGUGGGGGAUGAAGGCUUUCGGGUUGUAAACCUCUUUCGCUAUCGAACAAGGCCCGCUUAGGGUGGAUUGAGGGUAGGUGGAGAAGAAGCGCCGGCUAACUACGUGCCAGCAGCCGCGGUAAUACGUAGGGCGCGAGCGUUGUCCGGAAUUAUUGGGCGUAAAGGGCUUGUAGGCGGCUUGUUGCGCCUGCUGUGAAAACGCGGGGCUUAACUUCGCGCGUGCAGUGGGUACGGGCAGGCUUGAGUGUGGUAGGGGUGACUGGAAUUCCAGGUGUAGCGGUGGAAUGCGCAGAUAUCUGGAGGAACACCGAUGGCGAAGGCAGGUCACUGGGCCAUUACUGACGCUGAGGAGCGAAAGCAUGGGUAGCGAACAGG
This 420-nucleotide ribosomal RNA is filed under the name bacterium. Its description in RNAcentral is "partial 16S ribosomal RNA". It matches the Rfam family "Bacterial small subunit ribosomal RNA", at positions 355 to 776 of the family's 1533-position model. The record is from RNAcentral.